AUUAGAAUAGAACAUGAAAAUUAUUCUCUGUUUUGUUUUCUCUUUAUGUUAGAACAGAAUAAUAUUAUGUUUUGUCAGCUGCAAUAUUAGUCCUAAACGAAUAGUUUAUUAAGGAUAAGUACUAUAAAUGCUCCAUUUGUUAUUUGUUCUUAUGAUAAUAACAUUUAUUAUUAUUUUAAUCUAAGAUAGUAUCUAGAGCUUUCUUUGGAACACCAAUAAUUUUUUUUUUAAAUGGCUUUCUCUACAUCUAUUCCUAUUAUGUCUUCCCCUUUUUAACUUCAGAAAAACUUGAUGAAUCCAACUAUCUAUUCUAGCGACAAUAAAUUGAACCUAUAAUUAAAGCUCACAAGCUUUAGUGGUUCGUCAUCAAUCCAUCCAUUCUUCCGCAAUAUCUUGUUAGAAAAGAUUGUCAUGAUGGCAAAGUGAAUCUUGACUAUGAAGUUUGGAAAGUACAAGACUCGCUGCUACUCACCUAGCUUCAAUCCACUUUGUCGAAAUUCAUUCUCUCUAGCGUCAUUAGCUCAACUCAAUCAUGUCAGAGCAGAGCAAAGAAUUUGUUGAAGACAAUGUCUCGCACACGAAGUCAUCCUUUUUCUUCUUGUUCGUAUGGGUCACAAAAUCGCAACGUCUCUCCUCCUCGUGGGUGGUGUGGGUCAUUAGGUGGAUCUCCAAUUUACUAUUGUGGGGAGAUUGCAGUGUUGAGGGUGGCAAGUACAGUGAAGAAUGGUGGGAAACAAUUCUAGGGUUGCCCUAACUAUAAGGAAAGUGCAAAUGAGGAUUUCAAAGGAUGCAAUUACUUCAAAUGGUGCAAUGAAGAUAAUGUGAAUGAAAGGGAUGCAAUUAUUGGAAGACAAAACAAAAAGAUUAGUGAUAUGGAGAAAACCCUGAUUUAAAGGUGGUUCAAAUAUGGUUGUAAUUCUCACCAAAAUACUUGACUAUAAAGAGUUUGAUAAGUUACACCUGAUUUAAAGAGUUGGAUCAUUUUCACAAAACACAAUAAGUGAUUCCUAGAAAUAAUUUGGCAAAUUCACAUAUUGAGAGAGAGAGAGGUUAAACUCUGUUUAUAUUAAUCUUGA
Vigna unguiculata (cowpea) is the source of this 1076-nucleotide long non-coding RNA. RefSeq lists it as uncharacterized. The record is from RefSeq and is a predicted model, not a curated record. NCBI's taxonomy places the organism in Eukaryota, Viridiplantae, Streptophyta, Magnoliopsida, Fabales, Fabaceae.